This 346-nucleotide ribosomal RNA is filed under the name uncultured bacterium. Its description in RNAcentral is "partial 16S ribosomal RNA". It matches the Rfam family "Bacterial small subunit ribosomal RNA", at positions 338 to 681 of the family's 1533-position model. The record is from RNAcentral.
CCUACGGGUGGCAGCAGUGAGGAAUAUUGGUCAAUGGGCGCGAGCCUGAACCAGCCAAGUAGCGUGAAGGAUGACUGCCCUACGGGUUGUAAACUUCUUUUAUAAAGGAAUAAAGUGAGGCACGUGUGCCGUGUUGUAUGUACUUUAUGAAUAAGGAUCGGCUAAAUCCGUGCCAGCAGCCGCGGUAAGACGGAGGAUCCGAGCGUUCUCCGGAUUUAGUGGGUUUAAAGUGAGCGUAGAUGUGUUGUUAAGUCAGUUUUGAAAGUUUGCGGCUAAACCGUAAAAUUGCAAUUGAUACUGGCAGUCUUGAGUACCUUUGAGGUCGGCGGCAUUCGUGGUGUAGCGG